GAGCGUUNUCCGGAUUUAUUGGGCGUAAAGGGAGCGCAGGCGGUCAGGAAAGUCUGGAGUAAAAGGCUAUGGCUCAACCAUAGUGUGCUCUGGAAACUGUNUGACUUGAGUGCAGAAGGGGAGAGUGGAAUUCCAUGUGUAGCGGUGAAAUGCGUAGAUAUAUGGAGGAACACCAGUGGCGAAAGCGGCUCUCUGGUCUGUCACUGACGCUGAGGCUCGAAAGCGUGGGUAGCGAACAGGAUUAGAUACCCUGGUAGUCCACGCCGUAAACGAUGAGUGCUAGGUGUUAGGCCCUUUCCGGGGCUUAGUGCCGGAGCUAACGCAAUAAGCACUCCGCCUGGGGAGUACGACCGCAAGGUUGAAACUCAAAGGAAUUGACGGGGGCCCGCACAAGCGGUGGAGCAUGUGGUUUAAUUCGAAGCAACGCGAAGAACCUUACCAGGUCUUGACAUCCCGAUGCUAUUCUUAGAGAUAGGAAGUUACUUCGGUACAUCGGAGACAGGUGGUGCAUGGUUGUCGUCAGCUCGUGUCGUGAGAUGUUGGGUUAAGUCCCGCAACGAGCGCAACCCUUAUUGUUAGUUGCCAUCAUUAAGUUGGGCACUCUAGCGAGACUGCCGGUAAUAAACCGGAGGAAGGUGGGGAUGACGUCAAAUCAUCAUGCCCCUUAUGACCUGGGCUACACACGUGCUACAAUGGUCGGUACAACGAGUUGCGAGCCGGUGACGGCAAGCUAAUCUCUGAAAGCCGAUCUCAGUUCGGAUUGGAGGCUGCAACUCGCCUCCAUGAAGUCGGAAUCGCUAGUAAUCGCGGAUCAGCACGCCGCGGUGAAUACGUUCCCGGGCCUUGUACACACCGCCCGUCACACCACGAGAGUUUGUAACACCCGAAGUCGGUGAGGUAACCUUUU
Molecule: ribosomal RNA, 907 nt
Filed under: uncultured bacterium
Lineage: Bacteria
Description: bacterial SSU rRNA
Rfam family: Bacterial small subunit ribosomal RNA
Source: RNAcentral